Non-coding RNA from Stegodyphus mimosarum, 71 nucleotides. Lineage: Eukaryota; Metazoa; Arthropoda; Arachnida; Araneae; Eresidae. The record is from Rfam.
GCUUUUGUGGUGUAACGGUAGCACACUCGGCGUGUAAUCAAGAAGUCCAGGUUCGAGUCCCGGUGAGGGCA